GGAAUAUUGGACAAUGGGCGAAAGCCUGAUCCAGCCAUGCCGCGUGUGUGAAGAAGGUCUUCGGAUUGUAAAGCACUUUAAGUUGGGAGGAAGGGUAGUAACUUAAUACGUUGCUAUUUUGACGUUACCGACAGAAUAAGCACCGGCUAACUUCGUGCCAGCAGCCGCGGUAAUACGAAGGGUGCAAGCGUUAAUCGGAAUUACUGGGCGUAAAGCGCGCGUAGGUGGUUCAGUAAGUUGGAUGUGAAAUCCCCGGGCUCAACCUGGGAACUGCAUCCAAAACUGCUGAACUAGAGUACGGUAGAGGGUGGUGGAAUUUCCUGUGUAGCGGUGAAAUGCGUAGAUAUAGGAAGGAACACCAGUGGCGAAGGCGACCACCUGGACUGAUACUGACACUGAGGUGCGAAAGCGUGGGGAGCAAAC
This 423-nucleotide ribosomal RNA is filed under the name uncultured bacterium. RNAcentral describes it as "bacterial SSU rRNA". It matches the Rfam family "Bacterial small subunit ribosomal RNA", at positions 358 to 773 of the family's 1533-position model. The record is from RNAcentral.